UACGUAGGUAGCAAGCGUUAUCCGGAAUUAUUGGGCGUAAAGAGCGCGCAGGUUGGUUGAUUAAGUCUGAUGUGAAAGCCCACGGCUUAACCGUGGAGGGUCAUUGGAAACUGGUCGACUUGAGUGCAGAAGAGGGAAGUGGAAUUCCAUGUGUAGCGGUGAAAUGCGUAGAGAUAUGGAGGAACACCAGUGGCGAAGGCGGCUUCCUGGUCUGUAACUGACACUGAGGCGCGAAAGCGUGGGGAGCAAACAGGAUUAGAUACCCGU
Molecule: ribosomal RNA, 267 nt
Filed under: uncultured prokaryote
Description: partial 16S ribosomal RNA
Rfam family: Bacterial small subunit ribosomal RNA
Source: RNAcentral